AGUGAACGCUGGCGGUAGGCCUAACACAUGCAAGUCGAACGGCAGCACAGUAAGAGCUUGCUCUUACGGGUGGCGAGUGGCGGACGGGUGAGGAAUACAUCGGAAUCUACUUUUUCGUGGGGGAUAACGUAGGGAAACUUACGCUAAUACCGCAUACGACCUACGGGUGAAAGCAGGGGAUCUUCGGACCUUGCGCGAUUGAAUGAGCCGAUGUCGGAUUAGCUAGUUGGCGGGGUAAAGGCCCACCAAGGCGACGAUCCGUAGCUGGUCUGAGAGGAUGAUCCGCCAACUGGGACUUGAAAAAGGGCCCAGACCCUCAGGGGAGGCAGGGGGGGGAAAUUUGGAAAAAGGGGCGAAACCCUGUCCAAGCCUGGCCGGGGGGGUGAAGAAGGCUUUCGGUUUGUAAACCCUUUUUGUGGGAAAAAAAAAGAAGCAGGUUAAACCCCCGUUGUUUGGAGGGUCCCAAAAAAAAAAGCACCGGCAAAUUUCUU
RNAcentral lists this ribosomal RNA (491 nucleotides) under uncultured bacterium. RNAcentral describes it as "partial 16S ribosomal RNA". It matches the Rfam family "Bacterial small subunit ribosomal RNA", at positions 29 to 506 of the family's 1533-position model. The record is from RNAcentral.